GCCACACACACAAUCUCUGUCUCUCCAUCUCUCUGUGUGUGUGCGCCUCACUCUCUGUCUGUCUGUCUCUCUCUCUCUCUAUCGUCUUGUCUCUGCUAUCUCGCUGUGCACUUCUCUGUCUCUCUCCUCUUUCACUGUCUCUUUGGUCUUUGUGUGUGUGUGUGCCCCUCUCUGUCUCUGCCUCCCUCUGUGUGUGCUUCUGCCUUUCUCUCUCUCCGUCGCUCCCUGUGACCGUCGACCCCCCACCCCCUCUGCACCGCCCCUCCCCCCGCCUUUUCCUCCAUCUCUCUUACUCUCUAUCCGAGCCUCUCCACCCGCUCAGCAGGGAGCGUUGUGAGUUUCUUUCGAACAAAGUUUAAAGAUCUCUGUUUGAACCCAAGCCAUCCGCAAUCAGACUGCAUUUCUAAUCCCCCCCCCCCCGCCCUCUCUCUCUCACACACACACACACACACACACACAGUCUGUCUCUUUCUCCCUUUCAGUCAAUCCCCUUCCUCUCUUGGUCCUACUCAAGUCUUUUCCCACCCCCGACUCUGCCUCGGCGAUGAGUCCGCUGUCUGGAUCCCUUUUCCCAGGCGUGGGCUGAGGACCCAGCGGUUCGGCAGCGGGGAUCAUCGCACCACGCUCCCGGACCCCUACAACCUCCUGUUCUCCAGCGGCCUCCAGCAUAACCACCGGGCUGGGAGCAGGCAUCCGGGCUGCCGGAGCGCUCGCUGCUCAGUGGCUCAGCCCUGCGCCGCCUUUGCCGGGAGCGGGGAUCCGAGGUGGGAGAAGGCCUCUUCGCCCGGCUCCUGGGCACAGCUACCUGCCUGAACAGCUGCCUGGCACCGAGCCUGCGCUCCCCGAGCACCCGGCCGCGGGUCCGCGACGCCUUCCGGGGCUGAGUAGCCGAAAACUAUCUCCUACUGCAAGGGUAAGGACUGCCUGCAAAAUCUGAGAUUGGGCUUUGAAAGACAUCAACCUUUGCUUGCGAGAGAUAAUGGUAACUGCAGAUGCUAGAGAAUGCGAGAUAACAAUGUGUGGAGCUGGAUGAACACAGCAGGCCAAGCAGCAUCUCAGGAGCACAAAAGCUGACAUUUCGGGCCUCGACCCUUCAUGCGAGAGAACGUAACGUUUUUAAAGAAGAAAUUGCCCCAGUCAAACAAGAAGUCAAAAUAUUAAAUGAUCUGGCCAGUCAAUUAUCUCCGCUUGAUGUCUCUUUCUCUCCAAAGAUUUCUCACCAGCUUGAUGACCUAAAUAUGAGGUUGAAAUUUAUACAGCAGCAGGAGGUGAGGAGGCAGAGACUGCAACCCUGAGGUCACGGAGGGAAGGAAAAGAGGCUCUUACUUGGAGAUUGAGAAGCAGGAGAGGGCACAACCCAGAGGUUUGGGAGUGGAGAGAGGCUGCAAGUUGGAGGUCAAGCCACCAGACUCAGAGUACCUGUUGGGACCAUCCAAAAAUGACUGAACAUUUUCACUCAUUAGGUAAGUAGAUUGAUAAUAGGACUCUGGUUCUGUGCCACUGUCAGAUCAUUGCGACUCCAAAAGGUACCAAAGUAAAUUCUGGAUUCUAGGCAAAUAUACCUAUGUGUUUAGAUCUAUUUAGGUGCAUUCAUGUAGGCUAAAAAUACUUGAAAUAAUGUAUAAUUAGGAGUGACAGACAACAUCUGUGACAUUAAAUGAAAAACAAGAACAAAGAACUUUGGUUCAUAUUUCAGCUUCGACAGGCACUAAACAACUAAAAGCACUGUAUAACCAAUGAAGUAAGUUUUUGAAGUAUGUUUGUAAUGUCGGAAACACAGCAACAAAUAUAUGCGCAGAAGGCUUUCACAAACAGAACUGUAAAAAUGACCACUUACUUUGUGAUAUUGAUUGAAUGCUAAGUGUUGGCCAGAAUGUAGAUCCACUGAACUGAAUACAGGUGGUUUGUGGGUAAGAAAGUCUUAACCCUUUGGACAAACCUAAUUUUAUUUGUAAUUUAUUAGCAAUAACUGAAUUGUGCAGUUUAAGUUCAGAAGUUCCCAAUUUUAAGUGGAGUUUUAACAAAUUCACCUUUG
Molecule: long non-coding RNA, 2035 nt
Organism: Stegostoma tigrinum
Lineage: Eukaryota; Metazoa; Chordata; Chondrichthyes; Orectolobiformes; Stegostomatidae
Exons: 5
Source: RefSeq, a predicted model, not a curated record